This is a long non-coding RNA of Impatiens glandulifera, 1284 nucleotides long. RefSeq lists it as uncharacterized. The record is from RefSeq and is a predicted model, not a curated record. NCBI's taxonomy places the organism in Eukaryota, Viridiplantae, Streptophyta, Magnoliopsida, Ericales, Balsaminaceae. The transcript is spliced from 2 exons.
ACAUUUUUUUUCUCUCCUUGAAAAUCAUGCUAUGGUGGGGCUUUACUGGUCAGGCGGAAAGUAAUCACAGACAAACACCAUAUCCCUUAGUGAUUAAAGAAAUGAAUAUCAACUUCACCACUCUUGUCAGCAACUUGUUUGACUGUUUAUGAUGUGGAUGGAACAAUUAUGAAGAUGCAAUGAAAUCACUAUCUAUCUGAAGUUAUUUGAAUUAAGGAUUAAUUCAAAUUUUAGAAUAUUUUUAUACAGCUGUUGUUUAUAUUAUCUUUUGUAGUAUACAUCCAUAUACAAAUACAUUAAGUCCUUUUUUUUUUUCUCUCUUAUCAACAGUCAAUAUCAAUGUACUUCCUGUCUGAUGUUCUUGUUCAUUACUUCUAUCUCUCAUUUUUCCCUCCAUACAUUUCUCUGCCAAUUAUUGUGUGCUCUUCAGCUUGUAUAGAUAAUUAGUAUUUUCCCCUCCAAACUUCGUCCAAUUUUUUUACCCUCAAACCCAACCUUGUUAGGUUUUGCUCCUCAACAUUUGAAACAUUUUUAUUUACCCGGAACUAACUGACCUCCACGAACAGCGUCAGCCGGCUACCAACUGACCAAACUUGAGAAAUUGACAUCGUUAGCGAUUGACCUUUAGUUAGAGGUUAAUCAAAAGAUUUACAAAGUUUAAAGGUAAAUUCAAUGUGGUUGGGUUUGAGGGGCAAAAUCAAAAUCGUAACAAAUUUGUGGGGGUUACAAAUCUCUUUCCAUAAGCUUAUUGACUAUUUUAUGGCUUUCUCUUAUUGGGAAAAACAAUGGGAUGUAAUAUGCUCCUCAUCUCACAUAUAUCAUGAGCAGAGCUAUAGUUACCCUGAUGGUUCUUAUAGUAAGAAAAUGAGAUGUGUGAACAGAGCAUAUAAUGCUUUUAUUGGGAGACUUGUUGGUUAUUUUAAAGUAGAAAAGAGAUGGAAGAAAACUUAAUAAUUUUCAUUAAACUGAAAUCAUUUAAAUACUACUAAAUGACUAGAUAGUGGAACUAAAAAAUAGGGAAAUAAAUGGACAUGAUCUACUAGAAACUCUCCUAGAAAUCACCCACUAAACCACUAACUAAAACUGAAUUACUAAAAAAAGGGAAAAUAACAGAAUUCAAGCAAACUUCAACACUCCUCCUUGCUUGAGUUGCUGUAGAUGCCAAGUUUCUCCCUUAGAAACUCGAACUCGUUCCUCGGUAAGGCCUUGGUGAAUAUGUCUGCUAACUGAAGUUCAGUCUUGCAGUACUUCAGCUUAACAAAUCCCUCUUUUUUGCACUUCCCU